Meleagris gallopavo (turkey) is the source of this 3196-nucleotide non-coding RNA. Lineage: Eukaryota; Metazoa; Chordata; Aves; Galliformes; Phasianidae. The record is from RefSeq and is a predicted model, not a curated record.
CCAUGCUGAAAAAAAUGGCACCCACUGACAUUCUUUGACACUUGCUGAAUAUUUAUGGAGAUCAAAUGGUAGAUGUGAGCAGUGUGGUGGAAAGGGCUCAGGUGCUGAAGGAAAGACCUAUCACCUCUUCAGUCAAGAGUCUGGGCAUGGUUGUUUUUUCUUAAUCCUUCUCUUCUUAAGGAGCAUUUUGUGUGCCGAGGUGACAGGCAGCAGGCCACUGAGCAAACUCUGUCCUCUCACUUACUCCAACUAUGUCCUCUCCCAUUUCUCCAAACCCUGAAGAAUCCAGAGCCAUUUGGACCAUGUUGAGGACAUAUGGGGAUUUUUUUGUUUUUUUUUUCCUUUUUCGUUUUUCUCUUUUUUUUUGUUUUUUUCUUAUUUUUUUCUUUUUUACUUGUAGAAAAAGAUUGUAACAGAUUGUAACUGGCACAGGCUAAGAUUGAGCAAGACAAAGUCCUCUGGGAUCUGUGAGAAAAAAACUUCCCUUUGUAGGAUCAAGAAGACUGGAUCAGCUUAAUACCUUCCAGAUGUUUGAAAAUUGACAAGAAUAGGACAUGGCUUCAGAUGUUCAGGGUUUUACAGAUACCAACUACUGUUAUAGCAGAGCAAAAUGGGGCCUUGAAAGAGGAUGUGAAAAAUUCAACGCAUUAAUCAAGAAAUAGAUGAAGAGAGAAGCAGUCUUUGUAUCCUUUCUGAAAGCAAGAAUUUUUUGCAAGGUGAAUUAAUUCCAGUAAUUCCAGUUUGUUUCCUAUUAAGAAGAAAAUCAGGUAACAGAUGGAAAAAUACUUGCAUGCAACUACAUUUAAUGUUAAAUGAAAGGAAAUAAAAUGGUCUCCACACACUGACCCUUAAUAAAAAAUAGUUAUCAAUUUGCCACAAACUGCAGGCUAAGCCAGGCCCAGAAUAGGUGCUCCUAAGUCAAAUAAAAUAGGAAAUGAAAUGAGUGAAUUAAAUGUAGUGUAGAUUUUUAUGAAAUGUCCAGCUUUGUCAGCCACAGACAAGCAGGAAAGUUAGGGCUGCUCAGUACCUCCUAGGGUUUCAGCAUAAUGUAGUAGAUUAUGUAAUAGUACCUGUUACAUAGAUACUUUACUCUAGUUGAAAAAAUUGUGAGUACCAACACAGAUUGUGCUUGGAAGCAGGUGACAUCAGCUGUUGUAUCGCAUUCUUAAGGCUCAGUGGAUGAGUGCAGAGGUAAUCACAUUCCCUAGCAGCCCACCCUCCUGAAGCUCUUAAGUCCAUCCAACAGUGGGGACAGAAAUGUGUUAGAGAUUUUGAUCUAGUCUAUGUCUGCUCCAAGCAUGAUGAAAAAGCACCCUCCCUCCUUGAUGCCCUGCAGCAAUGAUUAGUUAAUCUGGAAGUCUUCUUCAGGAUGACAGAUGUUGACUGAAUAUAGCAGUGCGAACUGGUAGUGGAAUAAUUUGCAAGUAAUUGGGAGCAUCAGAACAUGUUUAAUAAUGUGCAGUUUUGCAGAUUACGCAUAAUGCGAAAAUAUGACAAACUUUAAGUUGCCAUGACAGCUUUGUUACAAAAACUGUGUGUGCUUUUAUAUGGAAAUGGUGACAGAAGCGAUGCCUGAUUUUUAAGUAACCAGUAGAUGAGCUAGUAUUGAGGCAGGGAGGAAAUUCACAGCAUUCCAGGAGGGGAAUUACCAUGUGGGGAGAAACGUGAGCUUAGGGAUGUCAGCCCUGUGGACAAUUGAGACUGGUGGGAGGAGAAGCAGAGAGUGAGGGCCCAGGAGCAGAGGUUAUUGAUGGACAUAAAUAGUUCUCAGGACUAAAAAAAAAAAAAGACUUAAAAGCUGUUCAGAAUGUGAGUAAAAAGAUGUCCUGUUAACAAGUAUAAAAAUAUCAGCUAAACCAUUGUGUGCCAGAGAUUUCUGUGUAUUAUACAGCACCCUACUUAGUUCUGAGGUUGCAAGUAGGAUGUAGAAACAUCUAGAGUGGAAGGUAUUUGGAUUCAUAUAUCACAAGGCAGGGGAACAGGGAAAAUAAUAACUGUAUACUGUUAGGGAAGGGAGGGAAAGGAGAACUUGGGGGUCCACUGUGCUUGGUCCACUCUCACUCUAGAGGAUGGAACUCCUCACUAUAUGGUAGUGUCAGAUAGCCUGUAUGUCUGCAUGAACCAUGGAGAUGGCUGUGUCACAGAGGUGUUUGUCCUCCAUAGAUAGAGGUAGGAAUGCACAAUGAGUUUAGGAAGUCCUAGAUGCCUUAUGUUUUCAGGGAGAUGGUGGCUGGAGAUGCUGCUUUGAGAUGCUGAGAGUGCAUUGCUGGCAAGUGAUUUCCCUGGGAUGAAGAGCCCCUGGACUGCAUACUGCAGUUAAGGCAGCUGCUGGGGAAAAGAUGAAACCUGGGCUGCAGGGGCUGAAGAAGGCAUGUACUGAUUAACCACUGAGGUAGUCAGAGUCCAGUAUGUGCCAAAACCCACUGACACUGUUGGAAGUUUUAUUUAGCGAUCAAGCAAGUAGCACAAGCAGGAGACACUUGACCACAAGUCGCAGACAUCGAGCUGUUGAUCUUUUGCUGUUAACACACUGGAAGCUGCAAAUCAGCAUAACUGAGUCCUAAUUCCUCUCUAGUCAGGCAUGAUGAGCUAAUGAACAGACAGCUAAAGGAGUUGAUAGGAGUUUACGUGUCCAAAGAUACACAGAAUUGCUAGGAAAUUCUGCUUGGUUGGAGUUACUCCAUGCAUAAUCAGAGUAUUCACUGUGUGCCAGAAUUCAGUGAGCUUUUUCUAAUGAAGUGACUUUAUAAUAGUGCUGAUCAUUCUCAUGGACAAAGCUAAAGAGUUAGAAGGACACUUGAAGAAAUGUGCAGGAAGCACAGAUUUCAAAUCUCUGGAAAGGAUUUAGAAAUUCCAAAAUAUUGAGAUAUUGUUAUGAGAUCUUGCUGGAUAGUUUUUGAGGAAACAGAAAUGAGCGUUAAUAAAGUUUCAGAAGACUGAUGUGUAUAGAGAAAGUACACUACAGAUAUGAGACUGCAGAAAAAGAAGAAAAUGCAGAUGAAAAAAAGGUAAUUUAAAAGUUAGCUGAAACUGAUGUGAACUAGCAAGGGCUACAUUAACAACAAAAUAAGGAAAUUCAGAAACUAAAAGUUAGCACAGCGGUUUAAAGAAAGUUUAUUUGCCCCAGGCAAUCCUACAGACUUGGGGAGGAGUGGCUGGAAAGCUGCCUGAUGGAAAGGGACCUUGGUGUAGUGAU